Non-coding RNA from Acanthosepion pharaonis, 111 nucleotides. NCBI's taxonomy places the organism in Eukaryota, Metazoa, Mollusca, Cephalopoda, Sepiida, Sepiidae. The record is from the annotation of a GenBank genome assembly.
CUGUCAUAUCACCUUGAAUCACCGACUUCCGUACCGUCAUCGAAAUUAAGCAACGUUGGGCCUGGUCAGUACCUAGAUUGGUGACCGCUUGGAAAUACUUAGUGCUGUAAG